RNAcentral lists this ribosomal RNA (650 nucleotides) under Rhodococcus opacus. RNAcentral describes it as "bacterial SSU rRNA". It matches the Rfam family "Bacterial small subunit ribosomal RNA", at positions 41 to 708 of the family's 1533-position model. Lineage: Bacteria; Bacillati; Actinomycetota; Actinomycetes; Mycobacteriales; Nocardiaceae. The record is from RNAcentral.
GGCGUGCUUAACACAUGCAAGUCGAGCGGUAAGGCCCUUCGGGGUACACGAGCGGCGAACGGGUGAGUAACACGUGGGUGAUCUGCCCUGCACUUCGGGAUAAGCCUGGGAAACUGGGUCUAAUACCGGAUAUGACCUUCGGCUGCAUGGCUGAGGGUGGAAGGGUUUACUGGUGCAGGAUGGGCCCGCGGCCUAUCAGCUUGUUGGUGGGGUAAUGGCCUACCAAGGCGACGACGGGUAGCCGACCUGAGAGGGUGACCGGCCACACUGGGACUGAGACACGGCCCAGACUCCUACGGGAGGCAGCAGUGGGGAAUAUUGCACAAUGGGCGAAAGCCUGAUGCAGCGACGCCGCGUGAGGGAUGACGGCCUUCGGGUUGUAAACCUCUUUCAGCAGGGACGAAGCGAGAGUGACGGUACCUGCAGAAGAAGCACCGGCCAACUACGUGCCAGCAGCCGCGGUAAUACGUAGGGUGCAAGCGUUGUCCGGAAUUACUGGGCGUAAAGAGCUCGUAGGCGGUUUGUCGCGUCGUCUGUGAAAACUCGAGGCUCAACCUCGAGCUUGCAGGCGAUACGGGCAGACUUGAGUACUGCAGGGGAGACUGGAAUUCCUGGUGUAGCGGUGAAAUGCGCAGAUAUCAGGAGGAACA